Molecule: ribosomal RNA, 373 nt
Filed under: uncultured organism
Description: partial 16S ribosomal RNA
Rfam family: Bacterial small subunit ribosomal RNA
Source: RNAcentral
GUAGGUGGCAAGCGUUGUCCGGAAUUAUUGGGCGUAAAGCGCGCGCAGGCGGUUCUUUAAGUCUGAUGUGAAAGCCCACGGGCUCAACCGUGGAGGGUCAUUGGAAACUGGAGAACUUGAGUACAGAAGAGGAAAGCGGAAUUCCACGUGUAGCGGUGAAAUGCGUAGAGAUGUGGAGGAACACCAGUGGCGAAGGCGGCUUUCUGGUCUGUAACUGACGCUGAGGCGCGAAAGCGUGGGGAGCAAACAGGAUUAGAUACCCUGGUAGUCCCCGCCGUAAACGAUGAGUGCUAAGUGUUAGGGGGUUUCCGCCCCUUAGUGCUGCAGCUAACGCAUUAAGCACUCCGCCUGGGGAGUACGGCCGCAAAGGCUG